This 398-nucleotide ribosomal RNA is filed under the name uncultured bacterium. Its description in RNAcentral is "bacterial SSU rRNA". It matches the Rfam family "Bacterial small subunit ribosomal RNA", at positions 358 to 773 of the family's 1533-position model. The record is from RNAcentral.
GGAAUAUUGGACAAUGGGGGCAACCCUGAUCCAGCCAUGCCGCGUGCGUGAAGAAGGCCUUAGGGUUGUAAAGCGCUUUCUCUGGUGAAGAUGAUGACGGUAGCCAGAGAAGAAGCCCCGGCUAACCCCGUGCCAGCCGCCGCGGUAAUACGGCGGGGGAAAGCGUUGUUCGGAAUUACUGGGCGUAAAGGGCGCGUAGGCGGAACAGUAAGUUAGGGGUGAAAGGCCUGGGCUCAACCUGGGAGCGGCCUCUAAGACUGAUGAUCUUGAGUCCGGAAGAGGAUGGCGGAAUUCCCAGUGUAGAGGUGAAAUUCGUAGAUAUUGGGAAGAACACCGGUGGCGAAGGCGGCCAUCUGGUCCGGUACUGACGCUGAGGCGCGAAAGCGUGGGGAGCAAAC